GAUGAACGCUGGCGGCGUGCCUAAUAUAUGCAAGUCGAGCGAACGGACGAGAAGCUUGCUUCUCUGAUGUUAGCGGCGGACGGGUGAGUAACACGUGGAUAACCUACCUAUAAGACUGGGAUAACUUCGGGAAACCGGAGCUAAUACCGGAUAAUAUUUUGAACCGCAUGGUUCAAAAGUGAAAGACGGUCUUGCUGUCACUUAUAGAUGGAUCCGCGCUGCAUUAGCUAGUUGGUAAGGUAACGGCUUACCAAGGCAACGAUGCAUAGCCGACCUGAGAGGGUGAUCGGCCACACUGGAACUGAGACACGGUCCAGACUCCUACGGGAGGCAGCAGUAGGGAAUCUUCCGCAAUGGGCGAAAGCCUGACGGAGCAACGCCGCGUGAGUGAUGAAGGUCUUCGAAUCGUAAAACUCUGUUAUUAGGGAAGAACAUAUGUGUAAGUAACUGUGCACAUCUUGACGGUACCUAAUCAGAAAGCCACGGCUAACUACGUGCCAGCAGCCGCGGUAAUACGUAGGUGGCAAGCGUUAUCCGGAAUUAUUGGGCGUAAAGCGCGCGUAGGCGGUUUUUUAAGUCUGAUGUGAAAGCCCACGGCUCAACCGUGGAGGGUCAUUGGAAACUGGAAAACUUGAGUGCAGAAGAGGAAAGUGGAAUUCCAUGUGUAGCGGUGAAAUGCGCAGAGAUAUGGAGGAACACCAGUGGCGAAGGCGACUUUCUGGUCUGUAACUGACGCUGAUGUGCGAAAGCGUGGGGAUCAAACAGGAUUAGAUACCCUGGUAGUCCACGCCGUAAACGAUGAGUGCUAAGUGUUAGGGGGUUUCCGCCCCUUAGUGCUGCAGCUAACGCAUUAAGCACUCCGCCUGGGGAGUACGACCGCAAGGUUGAAACUCAAAGGAAUUGACGGGGACCCGCACAAGCGGUGGAGCAUGUGGUUUAAUUCGAAGCAACGCGAAGAACCUUACCAAAUCUUGACAUCCUUUGACAACUCUAGAGAUAGAGCCUUCCCCUUCGGGGGACAAAGUGACAGGUGGUGCAUGGUUGUCGUCAGCUCGUGUCGUGAGAUGUUGGGUUAAGUCCCGCAACGAGCGCAACCCUUAAGCUUAGUUGCCAUCAUUAAGUUGGGCACUCUAAGUUGACUGCCGGUGACAAACCGGAGGAAGGUGGGGAUGACGUCAAAUCAUCAUGCCCCUUAUGAUUUGGGCUACACACGUGCUACAAUGGACAAUACAAAGGGCAGCGAAACCGCGAGGUCAAGCAAAUCCCAUAAAGUUGUUCUCAGUUCGGAUUGUAGUCUGCAACUCGACUACAUGAAGCUGGAAUCGCUAGUAAUCGUAGAUCAGCAUGCUACGGUGAAUACGUUCCCGGGUCU
Molecule: ribosomal RNA, 1372 nt
Filed under: uncultured bacterium
Lineage: Bacteria
Description: bacterial SSU rRNA
Rfam family: Bacterial small subunit ribosomal RNA
Source: RNAcentral